GCUACUUUUUUCUUUCUUUCCUUGUUUUGUACGGACCUUCAUGUGCCCAUCUAUUUUUUUAUUUUUGCAUAGCCUUGUGUCUCUUUGAUCAAGCAUAUAGAAAGAUAUAAUGUGGCUUUUAAAACAUGGAGCAUCUAUAUAUAGUGGAUGUGGAAAGCAUGGUUUUUGCGUACUUCCAGUGUAGAAGUACCAUGAAGAUGUGGUGUGUGUGUAUGAUGUUGAGCUU
Molecule: long non-coding RNA, 226 nt
Filed under: Sorghum bicolor (sorghum)
Lineage: Eukaryota; Viridiplantae; Streptophyta; Magnoliopsida; Poales; Poaceae
Description: long non-coding RNA (SBIC_LNC014454)
Source: RNAcentral